Molecule: ribosomal RNA, 499 nt
Filed under: uncultured bacterium
Lineage: Bacteria
Description: partial 16S ribosomal RNA
Rfam family: Bacterial small subunit ribosomal RNA
Source: RNAcentral
GACGAACGCUGGCGGCGUGCCUAAUACAUGCAAGUCGAGCGAAGUUUUUCUGGUGCUUGCACCGGAAAAACUUAGCGGCGAACGGGUGAGUAACACGUAAAGAACCUGCCUUAUAGACUGGGACAACUAUUGGAAACGAUAGCUAAUACCGGAUAACAGCAUUACCUGCAUGGUUGAUGUUUGAAAGUUGGUUUUGCUAACACUAUGAGAUGGCUUUGCGGUGCAUUAGCUAGUUGGUGGGGUAAAGGCCUACCAAGGCGACGAUGCAUAGCCGACCUGAGAGGGUGAUCGGCCACACUGGGACUGAGACACGGCCCAGACUCCUACGGGAGGCAGCAGUAGGGAAUCUUCCGCAAUGGGCGAAAGCCUGACGGAGCAACGCCGCGUGAGUGAAGAAGGAUUUCGGUUCGUAAAGCUCUGUUGUUAGGGAAGAAUGAUUGUGUAGUAACUAUACACAGUAGAGACGGUACCUAACCAGAAAGCCACGGCUAACUACGUG